GAUGAACGCUGGCGGCGUGCCUAAUACAUGCAAGUCGAGCGCAAAGAUCAGGAGCUUGCUCCUGUGAUUUGAGCGGCGGACGGGUGAGUAACACGUAGGCAACCUACCCUUGAGAUUGGGAUAACUACCGGAAACGGUAGCUAAUACCGGAUACGACCUUUCCACAUAAGUGGAAUUGUUAAAAGGCGGAUUUAUCUGCCGCUCAUGGAUGGGCCUGCGGUGCAUUAGCUAGUUGGUGAGAUAGUAGCUCACCAAGGCGACGAUGCAUAGCCGACCUGAGAGGGUGAUCGGCCACACUGGGACUGAGACACGGCCCAGACUCCUACGGGAGGCAGCAGUAGGGAAUCUUCCGCAAUGGACGAAAGUCUGACGGAGCAACGCCGCGUGAGUGAUGAAGGGUUUCGGCUCGUAAAACUCUGUUGUUAAGGAAGAAUACUUGAGGUAGUAACUGGCCUUGAGAUGACGGUACUUAACCAGAAAGCCACGGCUAACUACGUGCCAGCAGCCGCGGUAAU
Molecule: ribosomal RNA, 515 nt
Filed under: uncultured bacterium
Lineage: Bacteria
Description: bacterial SSU rRNA
Rfam family: Bacterial small subunit ribosomal RNA
Source: RNAcentral